UAGGGAAUCUUCGGCAAUGGACGAAAGUCUGACCGAGCAACGCCGCGUGAGUGAAGAAGGUUUUCGGAUCGUAAAACUCUGUUGUUAGAGAAGAACAAGGACGUUAGUAACUGAACGUCCCCUGACGGUAUCUAACCAGAAAGCCACGGCUAACUACGUGCCAGCAGCCGCGGUAAUACGUAGGUGGCAAGCGUUGUCCGGAUUUAUUGGGCGUAAAGCGAGCGCAGGCGGUUUCUUAAGUCUGAUGUGAAAGCCCCCGGCUCAACCGGGGAGGGUCAUUGGAAACUGGGAGACUUGAGUGCAGAAGAGGAGAGUGGAAUUCCAUGUGUAGCGGUGAAAUGCGUAGAUAUAUGGAGGAACACCAGUGGCGAAGGCGGCUCUCUGGUCUGUAACAGACGCUGAGGCUCGAAAGCGUGGGGAGCAAACAGG
Molecule: ribosomal RNA, 429 nt
Filed under: Chloroflexota bacterium
Lineage: Bacteria; Bacillati; Chloroflexota
Also listed under: 1 other name
Description: Chloroflexi bacterium partial 16S ribosomal RNA
Rfam family: Bacterial small subunit ribosomal RNA
Source: RNAcentral